RNAcentral lists this transfer RNA (75 nucleotides) under Candidatus Nanoarchaeia archaeon. RNAcentral's name for it is "tRNA-Met". It matches the Rfam family "tRNA". Rfam says of the family: Transfer RNA (tRNA) molecules are approximately 80 nucleotides in length. Their secondary structure includes four short double-helical elements and three loops (D, anti-codon, and T loops). Lineage: Archaea; Nanobdellati; Nanobdellota; Candidatus Nanoarchaeia. RNAcentral also lists the same sequence under 1 other name. The record is from RNAcentral.
GCCUGGGUAGUUUAGUCUGGCUAGAACGCAGCGCUCAUGACGCUGCAAUCGUGGGUUCAAAUCCCACCCCAGGCA